Molecule: ribosomal RNA, 1346 nt
Filed under: uncultured bacterium
Lineage: Bacteria
Description: bacterial SSU rRNA
Rfam family: Bacterial small subunit ribosomal RNA
Source: RNAcentral
GACGAACGCUGGCGGCGUGCUUAACACAUGCAAGUCGAACGGAAAGGCCCUGCUUUUGUGGGGUGCUCGAGUGGCGAACGGGUGAGUAACACGUGAGUAACCUGCCCUUGACUUUGGGAUAACUUCAGGAAACUGGGGCUAAUACCGGAUAGGAGCUCCUGCUGCAUGGUGGGGGUUGGAAAGUUUCGGCGGUUGGGGAUGGACUCGCGGCUUAUCAGCUUGUUGGUGGGGUAGUGGCUUACCAAGGCUUUGACGGGUAGCCGGCCUGAGAGGGUGACCGGCCACAUUGGGACUGAGAUACGGCCCAGACUCCUACGGGAGGCAGCAGUGGGGAAUAUUGCACAAUGGGCGGAAGCCUGAUGCAGCAACGCCGCGUGCGGGAUGACGGCCUUCGGGUUGUAAACCGCUUUCGCCUGUGACGAAGCGUGAGUGACGGUAAUGGGUAAAGAAGCACCGGCUAACUACGUGCCAGCAGCCGCGGUGAUACGUAGGGUGCGAGCGUUGUCCGGAUUUAUUGGGCGUAAAGGGCUCGUAGGUGGUUGAUCGCGUCGGAAGUGUAAUCUUGGGGCUUAACCCUGAGCGUGCUUUCGAUACGGGUUGACUUGAGGAAGGUAGGGGAGAAUGGAAUUCCUGGUGGAGCGGUGGAAUGCGCAGAUAUCAGGAGGAACACCAGUGGCGAAGGCGGUUCUCUGGGCCUUUCCUGACGCUGAGGAGCGAAAGCGUGGGGAGCGAACAGGCUUAGAUACCCUGGUAAUCCACGCUGUAAACGGUGGGUACUAGGUGUGGGGUCCAUUCCACGGGUUCCGUGCCGUAGCUAACGCUUUAAGUACCCCGCCUGGGGAGUACGGCCGCAAGGCUAAAACUCAAAGGAAUUGACGGGGCCCCGCACAAGCGGCGGAGCAUGCGGAUUAAUUCGAUGCAACGCGUAGAACCUUACCUGGGUUUGACAUGGAUCGGGAGCGCUCAGAGAUGGGUGUGCCUCUUUUGGGGUCGGUUCACAGGUGGUGCAUGGCUGUCGUCAGCUCGUGUCGUGAGAUGUUGGGUUAAGUCCCGCAACGAGCGCAACCCUUGUUCACUGUUGCCAGCACGUUAUGGUGGGGACUCAGUGGAGACCGCCGGGGUCAACUCGGAGGAAGGUGGGGAUGACGUCAAGUCAUCAUGCCCCUUAUGUCCAGGGCUUCACGCAUGCUACAAUGGCUGGUACAGAGAGUGGCGAGCCUGUGAGGGUGAGCGAAUCUCGGAAAGCCGGUCUCAGUUCGGAUUGGGGUCUGCAACUCGACCUCAUGAAGUCGGAGUCGCUAGUAAUCGCAGAUCAGCAACGCUGCGGUGAAUACGUUCCCGGGGCU